UCCACUUUGUCUGAGUGGGAUCCUGCCUCA
This 30-nucleotide non-coding RNA is filed under the name Rattus norvegicus (Norway rat). The record is from RNAcentral. Lineage: Eukaryota; Metazoa; Chordata; Mammalia; Rodentia; Muridae.